UCAUUUUAGUUCAAUUUAAUUCAAUCCAAACGAUUGAAGCCUUAGUAUAUAACCAAAAUGGUCAUAUGUAAAUUAAAUUCAUCGAAAAGAUAAGUCGAUGACCCACGUAAUACCAACACUUUACACUUAAGUAACAAUAUCUUUUUUACUUAUUAAAAAAAAAGUAACUAUAAUGUUUGCUUCCCAAUCACUAACAAUUAGCCUAAACAACUUUUAAAAAGAGAGCUUUAUAAAAUGAGUACUACAAUAACAAACAUAGUAAAAAGAGCUUUGAAGAAGCACUUGUAGACUGAUGAGUGAAUAAUAAAUUAGAUACAAUAAACAAGGUAUGAAGAAAGGUUUCUGCAACUAAAGAUCUUUUUCCUCUUCUAGGAACCGAAAAAUAUAAUUACAGAGAAAAGGCACUGCAAGGCAAUGAUAUACUCAACUUUCCCUUCCUUCUUAAGAACCCUGAGA
This is a long non-coding RNA of Beta vulgaris subsp. vulgaris (sugar beet), 456 nucleotides long. RefSeq lists it as uncharacterized. The transcript is spliced from 2 exons. The record is from RefSeq and is a predicted model, not a curated record. NCBI's taxonomy places the organism in Eukaryota, Viridiplantae, Streptophyta, Magnoliopsida, Caryophyllales, Amaranthaceae.